GGGUCAGUAGGUUGGUCGUGCCACCGGUACGUACUGGUCUCACUGCUUCCUCCUUCCUGAAGAACCGUAAUGCCAUUAAUUUGGUGUUGCGGGGAAACAGGACUGUUACUUUGAAAAAAUUAGAGUGUUUAAAGCAAGCUAACGCUUGAAUACAUUAGCAUGGAAUAAUGAAAUAGGACGCUCGAUCCCAUUUUGUUGGUUUCUAGGAUUGACGUA
This 216-nucleotide ribosomal RNA is filed under the name Glomeromycotina sp. RNAcentral describes it as "partial small subunit ribosomal RNA". The stretch from base 44 to 216 matches the Rfam family "Eukaryotic small subunit ribosomal RNA", at positions 690 to 864 of the family's 1831-position model. Lineage: Eukaryota; Fungi; Glomeromycota. The record is from RNAcentral.